RNAcentral lists this non-coding RNA (22 nucleotides) under Arabidopsis thaliana (thale cress). Lineage: Eukaryota; Viridiplantae; Streptophyta; Magnoliopsida; Brassicales; Brassicaceae. The record is from RNAcentral.
GCGUGGUGUCCGGUGCGCCCCC